GAUGAAGAAACGUAGCGAAAUGCGAUAAGUAAUGUGAAUUGCAGAAUUCAGUGAAUCAUCGAAUCUUUGAACGCACAUUGCGCCCGCCAGUAUUCUGGCGGGCAUGCCUGUUCGAGCGUCAUUUCAACCAUCAAGCCCCCGGCUUGUGUUGGGGACCUGCGGCUGCCGCAGGCCCUGAAAAGCAGUGGCGGGCUCGCUGUCACACCGAGCGUAGUAGCAUACAUCUCGCUCUGGGCGUGCUGCGGGUUCCGGCCGUUAAACCACCUUCAUAACCCAAGGUUGACCUCGGAUCAGGUAGGAAGACCCGCUGAACUUAAGCAUAUCAAUAAGCGGAGGA
Molecule: unclassified non-coding RNA, 337 nt
Filed under: soil metagenome
Description: partial contains 5.8S ribosomal RNA, internal transcribed spacer 2, and large subunit ribosomal RNA
Rfam family: 5.8S ribosomal RNA (bases 1-121)
Source: RNAcentral